This 2055-nucleotide ribosomal RNA is filed under the name Clostridioides difficile. RNAcentral describes it as "bacterial LSU rRNA". It matches the Rfam family "Bacterial large subunit ribosomal RNA", at positions 662 to 2734 of the family's 2925-position model. The record is from RNAcentral. Lineage: Bacteria; Bacillati; Bacillota; Clostridia; Peptostreptococcales; Peptostreptococcaceae.
GGAGCCGUAGCGAAAGCGAGUUUUAACUGAGCGUUCAGUUACUUGACGUAGACCCGAAACCGGGCGACCUACCCAUGAGCAGGAUGAAGCGAAAGUAAAAUUUCGUGGAGGUCCGAACCCACGAGCGUUGAAAAGCUCGGGGAUGACUUGUGGGUAGCGGUGAAAUUCCAAUCGAGCCCGGAGAUAGCUGGUUCUCCCCGAAAUAGCUUUAGGGCUAGCCUCAAGGUGAGAGAUACGGAGGUAGAGCACUGAAUGUCCUAGGGGGUAUUGCACCUACCGAAGACUAUCAAACUCCGAAUGCCGUCAUCUUAUACUUGGGAGUCAGACUGUGGGUGAUAAGAUUCAUAGUCGAAAGGGCAACAGCCCAGAUCGUCAGCUAAGGUCCCUAAAUGUAAGUUAAGUGGUAAAGGAUGUGGGAUUGCACAGACAACCAGGAUGUUGGCUUAGAAGCAGCCACUCAUUCAAAGAGUGCGUAAUAGCUCACUGGUCGAGUGAUCCUGCGCCGAAGAUUUCCGGGGCUAAAACUUACUACCGAAGCUACGGCAUCAGUAAUGAUGGGUAGGGGAGCUUCCCAUACGGGUUGAAGCAUGACCGUAAGGACAUGUGGACAGUAUGGGAGUGAGAAUGUUGGCAUGAGUAGCGAGAUGUGGGUGAGAAUCCCACAGGCCGUAAACCCAAGGUUUCCAGGGGAAGGUUCGUCCGCCCUGGGUUAGUCGGGACCUAAGCUGAGGCCGAAAGGCGUAGGUGAUGGACAACAGGUUGAUAUUCCUGUACUACCGAUAACCGUUUGAGAGAAGGGAUGACACAGUAGGAUAAGCUAAGCACACUGUUGGUUAUGUGUGCCCAAGCAUUGAGGCAGUCAAAGUAGGCAAAUCCGCUUUGAUAAUGCUGGGAUGUGAUGGGGAGCGAAAUUUAGUAGCGAAGUAGCUGAUUUCACACUGUCAAGAAAAGUCUCUAUCGAGGUUAAAGGUACCCGUACCGCAAACCGACACAGGUGGGUGAGGAGAGUAUCCUAAGGCCAGCGAGAGAACUGUUGUUAAGGAACUCGGCAAAAUGACCCCGUAACUUAGGGAUAAGGGGUGCCACCAUCAGGUGGCCGCAGAGAAUAGGCCCAAGCGACUGUUUACCAAAAACAUAGGUUUCUGCUAAGUCGCAAGACGAUGUAUAGGAGCUGACGCCUGCCCGGUGCUGGAAGGUUAAGGGGAUCUGUUAGAGCAAUCGAAGCAGUGAACUUAAGCCCCAGUAAACGGCGGCCGUAACUAUAACGGUCCUAAGGUAGCGAAAUUCCUUGUCGGGUAAGUUCCGACCCGCACGAAAGGCGUAACGAUUUGGGCACUGUCUCAACAACAGACUCGGUGAAAUUGUAAUUCCGGUGAAGAUGCCGGAUACCUGCGACAGGACGGAAAGACCCCAUGGAGCUUUACUGUAGCUUGACAUUGGGUCUUGGUACUACAUGUACAGGAUAGGUGGGAGGCUUUGAAACCAGGACGCCAGUUUUGGCGGAGCCAUCCUUGGGAUACCACCCUUGUAGUACUGGGACUCUAACCAUAGGCCAUGAAUCUGGUCUUGGGACACUGUCAGGUGGGCAGUUUGACUGGGGCGGUCGCCUCCCAAAAGGUAACGGAGGCGCUCAAAGGUUCUCUCAGUACGGUCGGAAAUCGUACGUAGAGUGUAAAGGCAAAAGAGAGCUUGAUUGCAAGACAUACAGGUCGAGCAAGGAUGAAAAUCGGACUUAGUGAUCCGGUGGUUCUGCGUGGAAGGGCCAUCGCUCAACGGAUAAAAGCUACCCUGGGGAUAACAGGCUUAUCUCCCCCAAGAGUCCACAUCGACGGGGAGGUUUGGCACCUCGAUGUCGGCUCAUCACAUCCUGGGGCUGUAGUAGGUCCCAAGGGUUGGGCUGUUCGCCCAUUAAAGUGGUACGCGAGCUGGGUUCAGAACGUCGUGAGACAGUUCGGUCCCUAUCCGUCGCAGGCGUAGGAAAUUUGAGAAGACCUGUCCUUAGUACGAGAGGACCGGGAUGGACGUACCUCUGGUGUACCAGUUGUCCUGCCAAGG